This 425-nucleotide ribosomal RNA is filed under the name uncultured bacterium. RNAcentral describes it as "partial 16S ribosomal RNA". It matches the Rfam family "Bacterial small subunit ribosomal RNA", at positions 354 to 796 of the family's 1533-position model. The record is from RNAcentral.
GUGGGGAAUCUUGCGCAAUGGGCGAAAGCCUGACGCAGCCAUGCCGCGUGAAUGAUGAAGGUCUUAGGAUUGUAAAAUUCUUUCACCGGGGACGAUAAUGACGGUACCCGGAGAAGAAGCUCCGGCUAACUUCGUGCCAGCAGCCGCGGUAAUACGAAGGGGGCUAGCGUUGCUCGGAAUUACUGGGCGUAAAGGGCGCGUAGGCGGACAGCUUAGUCAGAGGUGAAAGCCCAGGGCUCAACCUUGGAAUUGCCUUUGAUACUGGCUGUCUUGAGUUUGGGAGAGGUGAGUGGAACUCCGAGUGUAGAGGUGAAAUUCGUAGAUAUUCGGAGGAACACCAGUGGCGAAGGCGGCUCACUGGCUCGAUACUGACGCUGAGGUGCGAAAGCGUGGGGAGCAAACAGGAUUAGAUACCCGUGUAGUCC